Phycodurus eques (leafy seadragon) is the source of this 1622-nucleotide long non-coding RNA. RefSeq lists it as uncharacterized. The transcript is spliced from 3 exons. The record is from RefSeq and is a predicted model, not a curated record. NCBI's taxonomy places the organism in Eukaryota, Metazoa, Chordata, Actinopteri, Syngnathiformes, Syngnathidae.
UUUUAAACUGAAUACUAAAAUACAUAUAAUGAUAUCCAACAGAGAGCUGCAUCAAGUUUUCUGUCCAUACAAAGAUAACAAAGUUCAGUUUUGAUUGACACUGUCAGAGAGGUAUUCAUUUAACAAUAUGCUUAUUUUUGUGUUUGUAGUCACAGUGGUGUAGAAUUGUAUGGCAUCAUGAUGAUAGCUGUUCCUUCAUAUUUUGGUGAUGAUGCACCUGUUAAGUACCUGCAUUGGUGAGUUGACUCCUGAGUCGGCGGAUCUCCACCAUUGCUUUGUACCUCAGGCCGUUCUCCUCGCAAAAUUUGGGGGUACAGCCGGCGAAUUCACACGCGCCGACAGCACCUGAAGUCAUACGCACACGUGUGGUAUGUUUCAGGCAGGUUCUUGCCAAGGAUGCCACCUGAGCCAAAACUAACUUACCCAACAUGACCAUGACGUCCCCCAGCAAGAGUGACGGCCCUUGCCCCGCCCAUAGCCUCCUCAUUUGGGCCAUCCGAGCACGACGCUGGGAGAGCUUGGAGCUCUCGUCUUCGCUACCUGCAGUGGCUCCUUGAGAGCUCCUAGAGAGACCAACAACUGUUCUGCUGCCACAAGAGCCUCGGUAGAAGGAGGAGUCGGGAAGGGAAAAUUUACCACCUGCAAGCAGUACAAAUGACCAGGUCGUCCACAGGCCUGCGAGUGAUUUCUGCUUCCGAGAACAGACUGAAGUCACCAAAUACUGCAGACGAGUACAACCUGCAGGAGAAGAAGAAUCUAUUUGAAGAAUUGUUCAUGAUCUGCCAAACAGCUGUGUUGAAGUGAGUUGAGUUUGCUACCAUCAUCGAGCGCUCCUAUCCCGAAAAGCUCGUAAGUUGGCUAACUCAUAAGUCAAAGUAACACUGUAUUUUACAUGACAAAAAUCUUAUGGUAGUCCAUCGAACUAAAAAAAUAAGUGGAUACAAGGUUUAAUUAUGUCUCUUCGACAUGUUGUCCUCACACAAACACACUCCUAAAUAUCGAAACAAAUCUGACCUGUAACAAUGUCCCGGCUCUGUUCGGCCCGCUCUACCCGCCCUCUGAUUGGCUGAUGCUUGCGAGGUCCACGUGACCUUGAAGGAGGACACCCCAGUCACGCGGUCGAAGAAGCGCUUCUUCACGCGGCCGCAGUCCACCACGUAUUUGAUGCCGGGGAUGGUCAACGAGGUCUCAGCCACGUUGGUGGCAACCACACACAGACGAGUGCCGGGAGGAGGAGGCCUGAAUACCUACACACACACACACACACACACACACACAUUGAGGUUACAUUACAAGAGUAAAGAUUCACUAGAAUUGAUUUGCUCUCGUGGAUGAGGAUCAGUCUGUUCACCUUGGCCUGUUGCUCAGGAGCCAGCAAAGAGUAGAGCGGGAGGACGUACAUGGGGAUGGACGGGUCGGCCUUCUCCUCUACAGGGACAAACCACAACCGAAUUCAUCAUUUGAUAUAUUUCACAUCCCUCAAGUUGCAAAAUGAGCAGCGAGGCUUGCCCGUGUCGCCAGGAUCGUCUCCGAUGUCCAAGUCGGAGCCUUCGUCCUCAGCUAUCCCCGCCUCCCUGUCCUCGUCUCCUUCGUCCACGGGAAGGGCAGAGUAGUUGUCCAGG